This 310-nucleotide non-coding RNA is filed under the name Burkholderia sp. The record is from RNAcentral. RNAcentral also lists the same sequence under 1 other name. Lineage: Bacteria; Pseudomonadati; Pseudomonadota; Betaproteobacteria; Burkholderiales; Burkholderiaceae.
UUAAACUCGCGGCACCUUGGUGCUCGCGCAUGCUCGAUCCAGCGUGCGCAGUUAAACGGGAAGCAGGAAGCAACGUCCGCCCGGACUGCGCCAACCUGCGCUGCCCCCGCAACGGUAAGCGACCGCAACGCAAGUUGCAAGCCGGUUCCACGCGUGAUGUCCGCUCGCUUCACAGCCGUUUCAUGGCAUUUCAUCACCUGAAAUGACACGAAAUAGCGCGGAUGAAACGCUCAUGCCACUGCGUUCAAUACGCGGGAAGGCGGACCGACGCGUCGCCAGCCCGGAUACCGGCCUCGGGGAGAGCACGGCC